UACGGGGGGGGCAAGCGUUGUUCGGAAUCACUGGGCGUAAAGCGCACGUAGGCGGGUCGUUAAGUCAGGGGUGAAAUCCUGGAGCUCAACUCCAGAACUGCCCUUGAUACUGGCGAUCUCGAGUUCGGGAGAGGUGAGUGGAACUGCGAGUGUAGAGGUGAAAUUCGUAGAUAUUCGCAAGAACACCAGUGGCGAAGGCGGCUCACUGGCCCGAUACUGACGCUGAGGUGCGAAAGCGUGGGGAGCAAACAGG
Molecule: ribosomal RNA, 253 nt
Filed under: uncultured bacterium
Lineage: Bacteria
Description: partial 16S ribosomal RNA
Rfam family: Bacterial small subunit ribosomal RNA
Source: RNAcentral